ACCUGCAACAUAGCUCAGUCGGUAGAGCACAACUCUUAAUCUCAGGGUUGUUGGUUUGAGCCCCACGUUGGGCA
Molecule: non-coding RNA, 74 nt
Organism: Podarcis lilfordi (Lilford's wall lizard)
Lineage: Eukaryota; Metazoa; Chordata; Lepidosauria; Squamata; Lacertidae
Source: the annotation of a GenBank genome assembly